GAUGAACGCUAGCUACAGGCUUAACACAUGCAAGUCGAGGGGCAUCAUGCGGAUUGCUUGCGAUCCGUGAUGGCGACCGGCGCACGGGUGAGUAACGCGUAUCCAACCUUCCCGCUGCAGGGGGAUAACCCGGUGAAAGCCGGACUAAUACCCCAUAAUCCCCGUUGACGGCAUCCGAUUCGGGGCAAAGUUUUUUUUCGGCAGCGGAUGGGGAUGCGUCCGAUUAGUUGGUUGGUGAGGUAACGGCUCACCAAGGCUUUGAUCGGUAGGGGUUCUGAGAGGAAGGCCCCCCACAUUGGGACUGAGACACGGCCCAAACUCCUACGGGAGGCAGCAGUGAGGAAUAUUGGUCAAUGGGCGCAAGCCUGAACCAGCCAAGUAGCGUGGAGGACGACUGCCCUAUGGGUUGUAAACUCCUUUUAUGCGGGGAUAAAAUGUUUCACGUGUGAGAUAUUGCAGUACCGCA
RNAcentral lists this ribosomal RNA (466 nucleotides) under Prevotella sp. oral taxon 526. RNAcentral's name for it is "bacterial SSU rRNA". It matches the Rfam family "Bacterial small subunit ribosomal RNA", at positions 28 to 482 of the family's 1533-position model. Lineage: Bacteria; Pseudomonadati; Bacteroidota; Bacteroidia; Bacteroidales; Prevotellaceae. The record is from RNAcentral.